Molecule: non-coding RNA, 267 nt
Filed under: unclassified sequences
Description: Clostridiales-3 RNA
Rfam family: Clostridiales-3 RNA
Source: Rfam by way of RNAcentral
UAGUAGCCUGAUGGAUCGAAAGAUGAAGGGUGAGAAGUUGGAUGGAAAUCUGGAAAAAGGAUUCGCAUGUUGCGUAAGGAUAAUCAACCACAGAGGGCGAGAAGUUUGUCCUUAUCCUCAAAAGGCUAAAAGAGGAGAUAGUGCUUCUGAUAAUUCAGAAGGGCGUCGUGAAACACAUUUUGUGGCUCGUCUGUAACUCCCGGAGGUGAGAACACCUCUUUGUACACGGGGCGAUAUAGGAGUCUAGAAGACUGGCGUGUACCUACA